UGGGGAAUUUUGGACAAUGGGGGAAACCCUGAUCCAGCCAUCCCGCGUGUGCGAUGAAGGCCUUCGGGUUGUAAAGCACUUUUGUCCGGAAAGAAAUCCUUGGCUCUAAUACAGUCGGGGGAUGACGGUACCGGAAGAAUAAGCACCGGCUAACUACGUGCCAGCAGCCGCGGUAAUACGUAGGGUGCAAGCGUUAAUCGGAAUUACUGGGCGUAAAGCGUGCGCAGGCGGUUUGCUAAGACCGAUGUGAAAUCCCCGGGCUCAACCUGGGAACUGCAUUGGUGACUGGCAGGCUAGAGUAUGGCAGAGGGGGGUAGAAUUCCACGUGUAGCAGUGAAAUGCGUAGAGAUGUGGAGGAAUACCGAUGGCGAAGGCAGCCCCCUGGGCCAAAUACUGACGCUCAUGCACGAAAGCGUGGGGAGCAAACAGGAUUAGAUACCCUGGUAGUCCAGCGCCCUAAACGAUGUCAACUAGUUGUUGGGGAUUCAUUUCCUUAGUAACGUAGCUAACGCGUGAAGUUGACCGCCUGGGGAGUACGGUCGUCAAGAUUAAAACUCAAAGGAAUUGACGGGGUCAUAGCUGUUUCCU
RNAcentral lists this ribosomal RNA (588 nucleotides) under uncultured bacterium. RNAcentral describes it as "partial 16S ribosomal RNA". It matches the Rfam family "Bacterial small subunit ribosomal RNA", at positions 355 to 1375 of the family's 1533-position model. The record is from RNAcentral.